UACGUAGGGUGCGAGCGUUAAUCGGAAUUACUGGGCGUAAAGCGUGCGCAGGCGGUUUUAUAAGCCAGAUGUGAAAUCCCCGGGCUUAACCUGGGAAUGGCAUUUGGGACUGUAAGGCUAGAAUCUGGCAGAGGGGGGUAGAAUUCCACGUGUAGCAGUGAAAUGCGUAGAGAUGUGGAGGAAUACCGAUGGCGAAGGCAGCCCCCUGGGCUAAGAUUGACGCUCAUGCACGAAAGCGUGGGGAGCAAACAGG
RNAcentral lists this ribosomal RNA (253 nucleotides) under uncultured bacterium. RNAcentral's name for it is "partial 16S ribosomal RNA". It matches the Rfam family "Bacterial small subunit ribosomal RNA", at positions 524 to 776 of the family's 1533-position model. The record is from RNAcentral.